UUUUAAGGAAGUAAAAGUCGUAACAAGGUUUCCGUAGGUGAACCUGCGGAAGGAUCAUUAUCGAGUUUUGACUGGGUUGUAGCUGGCCUUCCGAGGCACUGUGCACGCCCUGCUCAUCCACUCUACACCUGUGCACUUACUGUGGGUUACGGACUGUGGAGCGGGCUCUGCGGAGCUCGUGAAGCGCGUCUGUGCCUGCGUUUUAUUACAAACACUAUAAAGUCUUAGAAUGUGUAUUGCGAUGUAACGCAUCUAUAUACAACUUUCAGCAACGGAUCUCUUGGCUCUCGCAUCGAUGAAGAACGCAGCGAAAUGCGAUAAGUAAUGUGAAUUGCAGAAUUCAGUGAAUCAUCGAAUCUUUGAACGCACCUUGCGCUCCUUGGUGUUCCGAGGAGCAUGCCUGUUUGAGUGUCAUGAAAUCUUCAACCUACAAGGUCUUUGUAAAGGCUUUUUAGGCUUGGACUUGGAGGCUUGUCGGUCUUUAUAGGUCGGCUCCUCUUAAACGCAUUAGCUUGAUUCCUUGCGGAUCGGUUUGUCGGUGUGAUAAUGUCUACGCCGCGACCGUGAAGCGUUUUGGCAAGCUUCUAACGGUCUCUGUAUGGAGACAAAGCUUAUGACCUCUGACCUCAAAUCAGGUAGGACUACCCGCUGAACUUAAGCAUAUCAAUAAGCGGAGGAAAAGAAACUAACAAGGAUUCCCCUAGUAACUGCGAGUGAAGCGGGAAAAGCUCAAAUUUAAAAUCUGGCGGUCUUUGGCCGUCCGAGUGUAGUCUGAGAAAGGCCCCGGCG
Molecule: ribosomal RNA, 789 nt
Filed under: Ganoderma sinense
Lineage: Eukaryota; Fungi; Basidiomycota; Agaricomycetes; Polyporales; Polyporaceae
Description: eukaryotic LSU rRNA
Rfam family: 5.8S ribosomal RNA (bases 261-414)
Source: RNAcentral